CUGAAACAGCAGCCCUUUCAUCCUGGAACCCCUCUGGCCACAUCAAGGUCCUUGUCGGCACUUCUGGCCAUAUUUCAUUGUAUUCUUAGAAUUCAGCAGGAAAUGAUCAGGUCACGCGAUGAAACAAUCUUGAGCCAAGCAAAUCCCACUUUGAGUCGGUGUGUGAUGUGGAAAACAGUACUGUCAUGGACCAGGGCUUGCUGGCUGGUGUGCUCAUUAACUUUGUGGAGACAAAUCAUCUUUGCAGACAUCCUGAUUUGGAGGAAGAGCAGCAGCUGACUCAUCGCUGUGUGGGCAGACACGUGGGCUUCGCGUGCGGCACGAGGAGCACCUAACCUGAGUUCUUAAGCGAGAUUUGGGAGAGAGCAAACGUCCUAGAGCUUAACUACACUUUGGAAUCAUUUAAUAAACAUAAACUAAUUACAAAAAUGCCCGAGAGUGUACUUCAUCAGCUUGAGGCUCAGAUUUGGUCGUGGCUCUAUCCCGAGGCACACCUUGCUGGGCCUGCGGCACAUCAUCACGGAUGCGCAGAUUCCGAACCAUGCCGCCCGCCGAAGCCGAGCAGCUGGCUGGCGGCGUCUCUCUUGCUUGGUCCUGUUUCACAGGCAGAGACUGUUUCAGUGGUGCUCUUCCUUUUCCUUUCUUUAGGAUGCUAGACCGUCCCUCCUACACUCUUUUAUCUCUCACGUGUUCUUUUUCUAAAGCUUAUCCCCCUAGCAUAAAAAAAAAAAAAAAAAAAAAAACCACCUGGUUUGCAGACAGUACUUAUCAGAAGAUGCCCCAGUAUUGUGCCACAGUUAGGAUUUCCCUACGACCA
Octodon degus (degu) is the source of this 817-nucleotide long non-coding RNA. RefSeq lists it as uncharacterized. The record is from RefSeq and is a predicted model, not a curated record. Lineage: Eukaryota; Metazoa; Chordata; Mammalia; Rodentia; Octodontidae. The transcript has 3 exons.